AUGCUCUCUAUAUCUAUCAGCUUUACUGUCUUCUCUCUCCUGGGAGCAAGUUCACUUGGUGAAGAUGUUGCCCAGACUCCAGGACACCUGGUCAAAGGAAAGGGACAGAAAGUCAGCAUAUUCUGUAUUCCAGUCAAAGGACAUGACUAUGUUUACUGGUAUCAACAGAUUCCUGGAAAAGAGUUUAAGUUCUUGAUUUCCUUUCAGAAGGAUACUGUUUAUUAUGAAGGAGAAAUACCUAAGGAAAGAUUUGUAGCUGAGUGUUCUGCAAGUUCUCCCUGUAGGCUGAAGAUCCAGUCCACAGAGCUGCAGGAUUCUGCAGUGUAUUUCUGUGCCAGCAGUGAAUCCACAGUGUUGAAUGCUGCCUCAUCUUAGUGCAUGAACUCACCCUCAGCUCAGGAAGCAGAUGGUGGAGUAAGUUGGAAGGAAAAUACAUAGUUCACUUAAGUCACAGAGUGAUUUGUAACAGUGCUAUAGAAUACCAUAGCAACAAUAUAGUGAUUCAUUAAAAAGGAGUCCACUGGAAUCAUUAUAUUUAUGACAGACAACAUAUAUAUUAAACACUUUAUUUCUUUAUAUUUAUUGUUUUUCUUUUUUUGCCUC
Molecule: non-coding RNA, 603 nt
Organism: Erinaceus europaeus (western European hedgehog)
Lineage: Eukaryota; Metazoa; Chordata; Mammalia; Eulipotyphla; Erinaceidae
Source: the annotation of a RefSeq genome assembly